RNAcentral lists this long non-coding RNA (1185 nucleotides) under Homo sapiens (human). RNAcentral describes it as "HSALNT0082549". The record is from RNAcentral. Lineage: Eukaryota; Metazoa; Chordata; Mammalia; Primates; Hominidae.
CCUGGCUCUCUGCUUUCUGCUUAGCUCUGCUGAAAUGCAAAUAUAAUCUCUCACCUCUCCCUCACAGGACAUUGCCUACACAGCAAGUUCCUCUAACUUCGUGCUCCAAGACAGGUCUCUCCUCCAGAGCUGACGGUGGAUUUACAGACCAAAGCAUGUCCCCAUGGAACUCUCACCUCCAGGGGCGUGCCUCGGAACUGCCAUCCUCCAGGGGUGACCUAGGAACUCAUACGCACCAGGACAGCACAUCGAAAGCAUGACCACUUGGCUACUUUUACAACUGAACUCUGCACAGGAAGGUGCCAACUCAACUGCCUGAGAGAGAUUUGGAUAUCCACCUUCCUGUUGACUUGCCCAGAUGUCUAUCACGGUGCCUUCCGUAUCCCAGGAGGACGUUGAACAUUGGCAGGCAUGCCUAGCUGAAAGCCGAUGCACCGAGGCCUGCUCCAUGCUAAGGCUGUAAUUCUUCACCCCAAGAAUCUUCAUUCUGGUCUUCAAGUAUUCAAGCACAGCCAAAAGCAAGCCUUCUACCAUAUCAUACAGUAGAAAGUAAAGAGAAAUUAGACUAUGUCUUCUCUGCUGCAUUGCUCCUUUGCCAUUGUUUUUCUGUGGACAGCUGCAUUCCUCUGCAAAUUCAGCUACUCCUGGAUAGACUCUCACAAUUCCAGCCUUAUGGAACUUCAGUAAUUCUAUUUCCACAUGCUGUCACUGCAGCUCUGAGUAGCUCAACAUCCCCUGUGUCUUUCCUCAACCCUGCUUCACUUCUGUAAGUAGUCCCUCUAUUACGUUCUGUUUAUUUGAACUAUUUGAGUGAAUCCAGUCUCCUGUUGUAGCCAUGACUGACAAUCAGUUGGCAUCAGGAGUUGGUAUUCUCAAGAUGGAAUUUGCAUCUGAGUCACUCAUAUAUUAAAUAAGUAAAUAAAUAACUUCCUUGUUGAGGAAGUCAGCACUGACAAUUUGUGGCAUGCAGUGACUUCUUUACUAGUCAGAUUAUUGGCGGAAGCAAGGAAUGAGAUGCGGAUAGAGGGCGAGUCUUUGAUGAUGAAGGGGCUGUUGAGUUUGAUAACUGGCCAGGCCAACAAAGGUGAUUUAACAGCAGAAUCUAGAUAGGAUGCUUUUGGAAGGAUCAUCCCUAUGGUGUAGAGCAGAAUAGAGAAUUACAAGAUAUAAAAUGUGAAAGGGCUG